RNAcentral lists this ribosomal RNA (252 nucleotides) under uncultured bacterium. Its description in RNAcentral is "partial 16S ribosomal RNA". It matches the Rfam family "Bacterial small subunit ribosomal RNA", at positions 524 to 776 of the family's 1533-position model. The record is from RNAcentral.
UACGGAGAGGACAAGCGUUAUUCGUCGUCACUGGGCGUAAAGGGUGCGUAGGUGGUAUUUUAAGUUUUAAAUAAAAAAUUAAAUAAAGAUUUAAUAUAUUUUUAAUACUAAAUUACUAGAGUAAUAUAGAAAAUAAUUGUAUUUUAAGUGUAAAAGUGAAAAUUUUAAAUAUUUAAAAGACAAACAAUAGGUGAAAACUAUUAUUUAUAUAUUAACUGACAUUGAGGCACAAAAGCAUAGGUAGCAAAUGGG